Molecule: ribosomal RNA, 216 nt
Filed under: Glomeromycotina sp.
Lineage: Eukaryota; Fungi; Glomeromycota
Description: partial small subunit ribosomal RNA
Rfam family: Eukaryotic small subunit ribosomal RNA (bases 40-216)
Source: RNAcentral
GGGUCAGUAGGUUGGUCGUGCCACCGGUACGUACUGGUCUCACUGAUUCCUCCUUCCUGAAGAACCGUAAUGCCAUUAAUUUGGUGUUGCGGGGAAACAGGACUGUUACUUUGAAAAAAUUAGAGUGUUUAAAGCAAGCUAACGCUUGAAUACAUUAGCAUGGAAUAGUGGAAUAGGACGAUCGAUCCUAUUUUGUUGGUUUCUAGGAUUGACGUA